UGCGCAGGCGGUUAUGCAAGACAGAGGUGAAAUCCCCGGGCUCAACCUGGGAACUGCCUUUGUGACUGCAUGGCUAGAGUACGGUAGAGGGGGAUGGAAUUCCGCGUGUAGCAGUGAAAUGCGUAGAUAUGCGGAGGAACACCGAUGGCGAAGGCAAUCCCCUGGACCUGUACUGACGCUCAUGCACGAAAGCUGGGAGCAAACA
Molecule: ribosomal RNA, 205 nt
Filed under: uncultured bacterium
Lineage: Bacteria
Description: partial 16S ribosomal RNA
Rfam family: Bacterial small subunit ribosomal RNA
Source: RNAcentral